GGAAUUCAGCCACGUUGCGCCCAUGUUCUAGCAGCUGAAGCUAAGUCUUCCAUUGGAAGGGUCAUAGCUCUUUUCCAAAGCUCUAUUAUUUUAGAACAAAGUCUAGAGUUGCCCCAUUUGCUCAAGAUUUGGAGUCACUGUCACAUCAAUUAUAACUGCAGAGGAUGCAAUAGAAAGGGAUCUUCAACUCUACCGGAGGACAAAACUAUAGUUUUUUGCUCAAUUGGAUCCAGAGCAUCAAAGAAGCCAUCUACAUGUUGUUAUUGAAAAUAAUCUGCACGGAUUUUGUGCCCUUGUUUCCAAGAAUUGCAGUCAAAAUACAGAUUCACUUCAGAAUUGGACGAUAAUCAAGAAAGGCUGCCUUUGUCAGCACCUCAUGCAGUGAAGUUGCGAUAGGUGACCAUUCUGGCCAAGGAGCCUUAGUGCCAGUGUUACGAGUCACUUUGGGCCAAAGGAUGAAAGAGCAGCCAGUUUUCCAUCUGCUCUCUCUUCUCCUGUUCUCUGCACUACGGAAACACCGCAUCACGGAUGGAGAACCACGAAAAGAUCCUCCAAACCAACAGCCCGGAUGAGAAGAUUCAUUAAGGUCAUCACAGACUGUCUGAAAAGGCAGAGACUUAUGCAUGCAGCUUGGCUGCUAUUCAGAUGUCAGAGAGGAGGAGUCAUCAGCCAUUUCCCAAGCCCCUUGUGAGGGAAGAGGAAAGGACAGAGCAGUCCCUCGGGGCCCUGCCACAGUGCUGCAGAAGUAUGGGGCAUUGUGGGGCAAGGCUAUUCUUUGGACUUUGGA
Long non-coding RNA from Fukomys damarensis (Damara mole-rat), 787 nucleotides. RefSeq lists it as uncharacterized. The transcript is spliced from 4 exons. Lineage: Eukaryota; Metazoa; Chordata; Mammalia; Rodentia; Bathyergidae. The record is from RefSeq and is a predicted model, not a curated record.